CCCGUAGUUGCCCCGGAACAGGGGAGAUGGUAGGGGCGGGUUUGAAAAACCUAGGGGCGGGUUUGAAACCCGCCCCUACGGGG
This 83-nucleotide transfer RNA is filed under the name Oscillatoriaceae cyanobacterium M33_DOE_052. RNAcentral describes it as "tRNA-Phe". The record is from RNAcentral. Lineage: Bacteria; Bacillati; Cyanobacteriota; Cyanophyceae; Oscillatoriales; Oscillatoriaceae.